GCCUUCGAGGUGUAACUAGAAGCGCACUCGACUUGUAUUCGGGAGGUUCGGGGUUCAAAUCAUGGCGAGGGCA
RNAcentral lists this transfer RNA (73 nucleotides) under Stegodyphus mimosarum. It matches the Rfam family "tRNA". From Rfam's summary of the family: Transfer RNA (tRNA) molecules are approximately 80 nucleotides in length. Their secondary structure includes four short double-helical elements and three loops (D, anti-codon, and T loops). Further hydrogen bonds mediate the characteristic L-shaped molecular structure. tRNAs have two regions of fundamental functional importance: the anti-codon, which is responsible for specific mRNA codon recognition, and the 3' end, to which the tRNAs corresponding amino acid is attached (by aminoacyl-tRNA synthetases). tRNAs cope with the degeneracy of the genetic code in two manners: having more than one tRNA (with a specific anti-codon) for a particular amino acid; and 'wobble' base-pairing, i.e. permitting non-standard base-pairing at the 3rd anti-codon position. The record is from Rfam by way of RNAcentral. Lineage: Eukaryota; Metazoa; Arthropoda; Arachnida; Araneae; Eresidae.